This is a long non-coding RNA of Dromaius novaehollandiae (emu), 688 nucleotides long. RefSeq lists it as uncharacterized. Lineage: Eukaryota; Metazoa; Chordata; Aves; Casuariiformes; Dromaiidae. The transcript has 4 exons. The record is from RefSeq and is a predicted model, not a curated record.
GACUUUUAAUUUCUUUCCCUGCACAGUUUGAACUGUUGUUUACUGCAGGUACAUACAUUUUCCAGGGCUGCUGUUUUCUUUCCAACAGCAUGGUGUUGCAUCAAAAAGGGAGUGUAUUCUACCAGACACCACCUAUGGUGAACUUCAAACCGACCGCUGGCUGUCAGACGGCAUUGUACUAGCCUGGCACGCCGUUACCCCCAUCCUGCAAAUAGGAUGCUCACAGAGUGUCUGCUGUCCCUAAGCAAUGCAGCCUUAGGUGGAUGUCAUCGCUACCCUGAGGACGCUGAACCACUGGGAAGAUUUCUAUAACCAGCCUACCUGAUUUGUGAAGAGGAGACUGAAAGCAACUGUAUGGACAGGCACUUUGGAGCAGCUGUAAUUUGCAGCAUGGCUGUUGCACAGAAAUACGCAUCUGCUCCCCGACAGUUGCUGAUGCACCAGAGCUGAAGCCUCUCCAGGCACUAAGCAGCACUGGAGGCUGAGACGUUCCUCACAUGCCUGUUUUCCAUCAGCAAAACUCAGUUGAUUUCAGUCCAGUGAGUCCCGACUUACACCAGUGUGCUUUUCAAAGCCAGAAGGAAGUUUCUACACAAAAAGCUAUGCUGGAAGAUUAGGUGUGAAUGGAAAAGCUCCAGUUAAACCAGUUCAUUCCUCACUGGGACACUCCAGCCAAGAUAUAAGGACC